Long non-coding RNA from Ochotona curzoniae (black-lipped pika), 106 nucleotides. RefSeq lists it as uncharacterized. The transcript is spliced from 3 exons. Lineage: Eukaryota; Metazoa; Chordata; Mammalia; Lagomorpha; Ochotonidae. The record is from RefSeq and is a predicted model, not a curated record.
CGCUGGGAUCCCAUAUGGCCACUAGAUCUAAUUCUAGCAGCCUGACUUUCAAUCCAGCUGCCUGCUUGUGGCCUGGGAAAGCAGUCAAGGACAGCCCAAAACCUUG